This 169-nucleotide ribosomal RNA is filed under the name Gammaproteobacteria bacterium. RNAcentral's name for it is "partial 23S ribosomal RNA". It matches the Rfam family "Bacterial large subunit ribosomal RNA", at positions 2773 to 2925 of the family's 2925-position model. The record is from RNAcentral. Lineage: Bacteria; Pseudomonadati; Pseudomonadota; Gammaproteobacteria.
GAAAGCAUCUAAGCGGGAAGCCUCACCCAAGAUAAGAUCUCCCUAGACUUUUAAAGUCUCUAAAGGUCCGUCGAAGACUACGACGUUGAUAGGCAGGGUGUGGAAGCACAGCAAUGUGUGAAGCUAACCUGUACUAAUUAACCGUGAGGCUUGAUCAUAUAACACCCAA